CACCGGGUGUUCGUAAUUUUGGUUCAAGUGAAUUGAUAAACUUUUUGAAGGCAAUUGACUCACACAGUUAUGUAGAUAUCCCCGUCCUGUUGUCUCGGGAUGCAUCACGCUGCCUUGCCUGGGUUAGCUUCUGUUUUCUGGGGAUGAGGGUUGAGUGUGCUCCCUUACCUUCUCAAGGUAAGCUAGGUUAGCCUUCUUGUGUGAGCUUUUCAAGUGCACUUUAAGGUUUGUGGGAAUUUUUUCCCCUUUAGAAAUGUCCCUCAUAAUUUGUCUCUUUCCACUACAAGACACUUGCUUUAUCCAAAACACAGUCAUAUUCAAAGUAAUCCCAAAUUGGAAUCUGGCGCUUUCUCCCGACUUUUCCUGACAUGAUUCUGCGCGUGGACGGAGCAGCAACACAGACGACUCGACUAACGUACUGCCACCUGCUGGCAUAAUUAGACAGCAAGAAAAAAAUCUGGAAACUAAACUUCAUUUUCACCCUUGACUAUUGUAUGACAUGCACACAUCAAUGAAAACUAAAUACAGUUUUGCUAUAAAUGCAGUUAAUUUUUAUUAGUUUUGUGAACACUCAUUACAGUUUUAGUUAGUUUUCCUUUUUUUGUUUUUAUUUUUAUUUCCAUUAACGAAAAUGUUUUUUCACUUCUAGUUUUCAUUAUUUCCUUAGUUUUCGUUAGCAAUAAUAACCUUGGUUAUGAUUCAGAAUUGGUGACUGAAGACUGCCAUGACCACCCCGUUUCCCUGAACGUAAAAAGCUUCGCAAUUUAACAUCACAAAGGUCUUUAGAUUCCACACACUGGAGAUUGUGUCAAUCUGACGAAAUUCCUUGGAGGAGUUCGUCAAAGUAUACGGUGCCUGAAAAGAGGGGAAAAUGUCGCCAAAAUUACACAUUAAUUUUAAAAUGGCUGACUUCCUGUUGGAUUUGGGAUAAAGCUCCAAGAGACUUUUUUGUACAUCUUCAUGUCUUCUAUAAGCUUACCAGGUUUCAGACUCAUUGAUAAAAC
Molecule: long non-coding RNA, 1004 nt
Organism: Astatotilapia calliptera (eastern happy)
Lineage: Eukaryota; Metazoa; Chordata; Actinopteri; Cichliformes; Cichlidae
Source: Ensembl